AAAAAAAGAAAAGGAAAAAAGGAAAAUAAAAAUAAAAAGGAAAAAAAAAAAAGAUGUGUUGGCUGAAAUCAGCGUAUUCCAGGCCAAACUGUGCUGCAGCAGAACCUCGUGGGACUUCAGCUGAACAGAGCUGGGGAAAAACAUGGGGAAAACAUGGGGAAAAUAUGGGGAAAACAUGGGGAAAACAUGGAUGAAAGGCAGGUUUGGGUGAUGAUGAGGGCUCAGCUCUUUCAGUGCAAUGCUGUGAAAGUUAGCACCUUCCAUUUGGAAAGCCAAAUGGGUCCAGAUGCUCCCAGUGUAGCCCAGUCUGGGCUCACCUCAUGUUUUCCAUCCCCAGGCACCCUGAGGGAGAGGAAGAAGAGUCCAGGAGGGAGGAAGGCUCUGAGCCUCGCGCCACCUAACUCUGCUGUGGAGCCAGACCAGAUUUACAGGUCUCUUUGCCUAUCAGUGAGGCGCUCUGGAAAGUGGCUGCUUCUGAGGUGCAUGGAAAUAGAGACACAGAACCUGAAAUGGGCGGACCGGUGGGGGUGGAAGAGCCCUUUCUGACACUUCCAACAGCUGUCCAGCUCCCAGCCUCCCAGCCUCAGGACGCACCGAGAACCCCUCCAAAACCCACCUCCAUGGUGCAGCUCAGGGUGAACCGAGGCCAAAUUCUGCAAAUCCUGAAUGCUGUGUCUGGAGGGGCUUUGGGUAGUCCCACAGCAAUGCCCUUUGGGAGCCACAAGGCAGCCCAUGGGCACGGGGCAAUGGCACGCUGUGCUCCCGACGCUGGGACUCUCCCAGCUCUCCCACCCAUGCACACACAUUAAUAAAAGAUCAGUUUGCAGACGCAGCUUGCUGUAGAUGACAGCAUUAGAGGCGCAUCUGGUUUCUGCUAAGCACCGCUCUCGUGCUGGGUUUAUUUGGUCCAUUUGUGGCAGGGAAGAGUUGCUUUCGGCAUUCAGUGGUGUCUCGUGUCUGGGAGAGGUGGGGGGGAAGAUGUAUUUUUGGUGCAGCUUAGCCACAAAAAUUCGGUUUCAGAAUAAAGACAAAUAUUCCUGUUUUCUAUCCGCUGCUAAACGGAGCCUUCAUUUGUCUGAGAACUUGGCAUCCUGCUGGAAAAAAAAAGAUGUUCUGAUGGGAAAAGUCCAUUGGUUGGUAUUGAUCAGGCAUUGGGACUGGCAGAUGUCAGCUUCAGCCUGGCCAAGAAAGCAGCUCCCAUCCUUUCCCAAGGGCUGUGAGGGAGGAGGAAGUGGGGCUUUUGUGGUUUUGGCUGCUUUAGGCUGAAUGUUGGUGCAGCAAUGGAAAGGCAGGCACCUAACCUGGGCUGCUCCCAGCUUCACUGCACCUCUCAUUGCUUCCCACCAGCAGGGCAAGGGCAGACACUGCAGCUCCCUUCAGGCUGCUUCUCUGCAGGGAGAACUUGCUGAAUGUCCACAGAGGUUUCCUAAUAGAUUUCUUUUUUCUCCCUGAAGCUUUUUAAUUAAACCUUUCCGAUCCCAACUCACUUUCGAUUUUAUUUUCAUAAAGGCAUUACGAUAUUCAGGAAGAAUAAAACUGCUGCUGUACCUGGAGCUGCCUUCAUUUUACAGCAGAAUGAAAGCAAAUGUGGAGUCAGUAGUGCCAGGAGCAGAGGGGAUGCCCAUGCAGCACAGGAGAGAUUGGGGACUGGAAAGACAAAAGCUUAUCUGGACGGGAGCCUCAAAAGCAGAAGCAGCUCCUUGGAUGCUAUACACCUGUGCUCCCUGGAGGUGCUGGUACUGCUGCAGCACGGCUCUGUGUAUUGAUUUAAGGGAGAAUAAAGGUCAGGAGCUGAGCAGGAGGAGGCUGAGCACGUUUGGGUGGGCAGCGAUGAGCGGAGCUGCAUGUGGGCAAGGACAAAACCAGGAUGGAGACGAGCCAGAGCUCCAACAGCCCCAGUGUGUGAGCGCAGAGCCCGGCACAGCUCUCCUGGCAGAUGGCUGAGCCCACCAGCAGGGCCCAUCCAGCCACAGCCAUCCCAGGUUUAGGGAAAACCCAGAUUUCAGCUUAGGCCUUACCAUCAGCAAGUCUGACUUUUCCUCCAGUCUGGACUUGCACACGUACGUAGCCAAAAAAAGAGACAAAAUAAAAGCAGAAAGGAGGACGCCAGCAAAGCAGAAGGGCCAGCUGGACGUGGCACAGACGGCGCGGCGCUUUGGGUCACUGCACUGAGAGCUCUGCUCCAUCAGCUGCAUGGGGGAGUGGUGGAUUUGGGGCUGAAGGUUUCCUGAGCCAGCCCUCUGUCUGGUGACCUCUGGGACGGAUGGUUUCAUGAGAAAUGGCCUCAAUUUACUCAACCCGUUGCAGCAAUCGGCGGCUGGCCGAGGUGGCUGCUGCCUGUGCUGGGAUGCGUGCUGAUCCCAGGAGGUCCUCAGUGGGUGGGAGGGGAAAUUUGCUCAAUCAAAAAUUGCAUCGCUGCUGCUGGCCAAAAGCUCACUGUGCUUUACGAGAAGAGCAGGUCCUGCAGUGUCAGCCCUCGUGGCCCCUCCAAGGAGAUGCGUUACCACUGGGAAGGAAGGGAGGGUUGGGACAUCUCCAUCUCCCGAAAAUACGAUGUGGGAGAAACCAAACGGGAAAUGGAGGAGUGGGCUGAGCACAGCUGGGGGUGAGGACCCGCAGCCCCACACAGCUUUACAGGAGGCGAAGCCUUAGGCUGCACUGCGCUGCUCCCCGGGGUCUUGCUGCCUGUCUGCUUUCAUCAUUGCUCUGUGAGAAGGGAAAGGGACCACACAGCAGCAAAACGUCCUGGAAAUGUGCAAGGGAGAGCGUUCCCAGAGCCCUUCCCUGUCCCAUCGCCUUCGUGCACAAUUGGCUAUGGAGGAUGUAUGGCUCUGUAUAGGCUCCAGCUCUGUGAGAUAAUGCUUUGCAAUGACAUCCCUAAUUACAGCCAGCAGGAGCACUUUCCCAGCUCUGAUCGCACACACAGUUUUCUGCUGGACCAAAAGAGACAGGACCCAAACUGGCUGCAUCCUCUCUGAUCCCAAGGCAUCCUGAAGGUUCCUUGCAUCCCAUAACUUGUCCUUUCAUAGGAGAGAAAAAGAAAAACAAACAAACAAAAACAAGGAAAGCAAAGCUACAAUAGAAGCAGGAGAAGGAAAG
This is a long non-coding RNA of Phasianus colchicus (ring-necked pheasant), 3099 nucleotides long. RefSeq lists it as uncharacterized. The record is from RefSeq and is a predicted model, not a curated record. Lineage: Eukaryota; Metazoa; Chordata; Aves; Galliformes; Phasianidae.